RNAcentral lists this ribosomal RNA (384 nucleotides) under Salmonella enterica subsp. enterica serovar Infantis. RNAcentral's name for it is "partial 23S ribosomal RNA". It matches the Rfam family "Bacterial large subunit ribosomal RNA", at positions 137 to 559 of the family's 2925-position model. Lineage: Bacteria; Pseudomonadati; Pseudomonadota; Gammaproteobacteria; Enterobacterales; Enterobacteriaceae. RNAcentral also lists the same sequence under 49 other names. The record is from RNAcentral.
GACUCGUCACACUAUCAUUAACUGAAUCCAUAGGUUAAUGAGGCGAACCGGGGGAACUGAAACAUCUAAGUACCCCGAGGAAAAGAAAUCAACCGAGAUUCCCCCAGUAGCGGCGAGCGAACGGGGAGGAGCCCAGAGCCUGAAUCAGCAUGUGUGUUAGUGGAAGCGUCUGGAAAGGCGCGCGAUACAGGGUGACAGCCCCGUACACAAAAGCGCAUGUGCUGUGAGCUCGAUGAGUAGGGCGGGACACGUGGUAUCCUGUCUGAAUAUGGGGGGACCAUCCUCCAAGGCUAAAUACUCCUGACUGACCGAUAGUGAACCAGUACCGUGAGGGAAAGGCGAAAAGAACCCCGGCGAGGGGAGUGAAAAAGAACCUGAAACCGU